UCUAAAUCCGCUACUGACCGCCACCACCAAGCGACGAUGCAUAGAGCUGAUCAGAGUCCUCAAUCUCUUCCCCGACUCAGUUGCCAACAUCGUUGUCGGCGGAGAUUCGUCCCCCGUCGUUGAUGGGAAGAGCAUCAUCGAGAAGCUGUUCACGCUCCCCAACGUCGUCGGCGAGUCUGCGUUUUCCGUCGAUGGCAUCGGCCACUACGCCUAUUACUUCAAGAUUGAGUAUUCUCACGCCGCCAAGUCAGGUUUCGAAACAUUCUAGGGUUUCAGAAUUCUAGAUAUAAGUACUUGAUCUCUCUCUUGGCUAUUGAUGUUUUGAGCUCAGAUACUAAAGCCAAUUUUCAGAAGAGGAUGGACCCAUAUUCCUCCUUUGGUACAGAAUGGAAUUGCACAUUGCACUGAAGGAAGAUUUUAUCGCAGAACCACCCACACAUGUUUUAGAUUGAACUGAUACAACUGAAACCAAACGGAAAAAUCCAAGACGGACCUUUAAAUCAGAGAAGGAGUUUAUAGAGUUCACUUUGAAGUAUCAACAAAUUCUUGCAGAGAGAGAUGGAGUUGGUUUUGCCUAUCUUGGCCUUUUUGGUGAGGAGGUUCCUAAAACAAUAGAAUUUCUGAGCCCUGUGCACAGGCAAGC
Long non-coding RNA from Rosa chinensis, 643 nucleotides. RefSeq lists it as uncharacterized. The record is from RefSeq and is a predicted model, not a curated record. Lineage: Eukaryota; Viridiplantae; Streptophyta; Magnoliopsida; Rosales; Rosaceae. The transcript is spliced from 3 exons.